Monodelphis domestica (gray short-tailed opossum) is the source of this 1146-nucleotide long non-coding RNA. RefSeq lists it as uncharacterized. NCBI's taxonomy places the organism in Eukaryota, Metazoa, Chordata, Mammalia, Didelphimorphia, Didelphidae. The record is from RefSeq and is a predicted model, not a curated record.
GUCCUAAAUGACAAGGGUCAGAGAAUGAGUGUUUAGUCCAUCACCAGUCUUACACCAGACUGGCAGGCCCUGCCUGGGGUCUAAUUCUUAUUGAGAACCCAGAGUCACCUUAAUGGCACAAAGAAGCAAUGAAUACUUGACCCAAGAGAAAUCAUAGCCUGAACAUGGUCCUGAAAGGUAUAAUGGAAAGAACACUGGACUCGAGCUCAGAGGACCAAGAUGGAAAUUCAGAGAGAGGAAGCAACUGGCCCAAGGUCAUUCAGAGAGUCAGAGACAAAGCCGGGAUGGAACCCAGGUGUCCUGACACUUUUGUGCUGCCUUGGGAAGGUGACUUCCUUUCAUUGAAUUUCAGUUUUCUCCAUCAAAUGAGGAUCAGACUCAAUCAGGCUAACGUCCCUUCCAGCUCCAAAUCAAUGAUCUAUAAGAACCCUAUUAUUGUUUCAAAUCAACAGAUAAAUGUCAACAGACACCUACUGUGUGCAAGGAAGCUAAGAAAGCUGAAAGCGCCAGACUAGUCCUCCCUAUUAGUGAAUUCCUGACUCUUCCAGCAGAGGAAAACCAGCCCAAGAAGGCUGUAGCAUGUGAGCACAGCUAGAUUACACUCAUAAAUUUGGAUUCAGCUAAUUGUGACUUUAUGGAGGACAUGCUUCUGAAACAACAGAGUCUAUAAACACAGAGUAACCCUGAUGGAUUAGGUGACAAGCAAACAUUGACGGGAGGGAGAGAGGCAGCAGGAGGGCAGAGAAGACUUCAAUUUCCAACCUCAUCACUCACCAGGAUAUCUAGCAAGACCUCUUUCCAUGGCUAGCUGGAGGAUGGAACUUCUACAUUUGUCAGACAUUGGCUGUUCCCUGUUGUUCAGGGACAUAUCAGUUCUGGAGGAAGAGCUUGCCUUCCCUCCCUCCAGCCAGUAGAUGUGUUCCAGUGACUCUUUCCCAAUUCAAAACCAAAUGGAAGAAAUGUCUGACUCUCCAGUGAGAAGAUACUAUUUCCCCACAUUCCAUUGAGAUAGGAAGAGCUAUAGCCAGAGCCAGUGGCUGCCCUGCUGAGAAGUUGAUGUGGUUCAGAUGGUGGAGCAAAAAGCAAAUCUGUCUUUGAAUCAGAAGAUCAGGCUCUGACCUUAACAUUUAGGGUGUGACCUUAGUA